UCAGUAACACGUAGUCAACCUAACCUGUGGACGUGGAUAAUCUCGGGAAACUGAGAAUAAACCACGAUAGAUAACGGUGCCUGGAAUGGCCCAUUGUCCAAACAGUUUACUGCCACGGGAUGGGACUGCGGCCUAUCAGCUUGUUGGUGAGGUAAUGGCCCACCAAGGCUAUAACAGGUACGGGCUCUGAGAGGAGAAGCCCGGAGAUGGGUACUGAGACUACGGACACCAGGCCCUAUGGGGCGCAGCAGGCAGAGAAACCUUAGCAAUAGUGCGAAAGCACGACUGGGUCAGUCCGAGUAGAUUUCUGAUAAAGGAAUCUCUUUGCUAGUCCUACAAAGCGACUAGCGAAUAAGGGGUGGGCAA
This 366-nucleotide ribosomal RNA is filed under the name unidentified archaeon. Its description in RNAcentral is "bacterial SSU rRNA". It matches the Rfam family "Archaeal small subunit ribosomal RNA", at positions 90 to 449 of the family's 1478-position model. The record is from RNAcentral.